AAAAGUGAAAGACGGUCUUGCUGUCACUUAUAGAUGGAUCCGCGCUGCAUUAGCUAGUUGGUAAGGUAACGGCUUACCAAGGCAACGAUGCAUAGCCGACCUGAGAGGGUGAUCGGCCACACUGGAACUGAGACACGGUCCAGACUCCUACGGGAGGCAGCAGUAGGGAAUCUUCCGCAAUGGGCGAAAGCCUGACGGAGCAACGCCGCGUGAGUGAUGAAGGUCUUCGGAUCGUAAAACUCUGUUAUUAGGGAAGAACAUAUGUGUAAGUAACUGUGCACAUCUUGACGGUACCUAAUCAGAAAGCCACGGCUAACUACGUGCCAGCAGCCGCGGUAAUACGUAGGUGGCAAGCGUUAUCCGGAAUUAUUGGGCGUAAAGCGCGCGUAGGCGGUUUUUUAAGUCUGAUGUGAAAGCCCACGGCUCAACCGUGGAGGGUCAUUGGAAACUGGAAAACUUGAGUGCAGAAGAGGAAAGUGGAAUUCCAUGUGUAGCGGUGAAAUGCGCAGAGAUAUGGAGGAACACCAGUGGCGAAGGCGACUUUCUGGUCUGUAACUGACGCUGAUGUGCGAAAGCGUGGGGAUCAAACAGGAUUAGAUACCCUGGUAGUCCACGCCGUAAACGAUGAGUGCUAAGUGUUAGGGGGUUUCCGCCCCUUAGUGCUGCAGCUAACGC
Molecule: ribosomal RNA, 675 nt
Filed under: Staphylococcus aureus
Lineage: Bacteria; Bacillati; Bacillota; Bacilli; Caryophanales; Staphylococcaceae
Description: bacterial SSU rRNA
Rfam family: Bacterial small subunit ribosomal RNA
Source: RNAcentral